Molecule: ribosomal RNA, 497 nt
Filed under: uncultured bacterium
Lineage: Bacteria
Description: partial 16S ribosomal RNA
Rfam family: Bacterial small subunit ribosomal RNA
Source: RNAcentral
GACGAACGCUGGCGGCGUGCCUAAUACAUGCAAGUUGAGCGAUGAAGAUUGGUGCUUGCACCAAUUUGAAGAGCAGCGAACGGGUGAGUAACGCGUGGGGAAUCUGCCUUUGAGCGGGGGACAACAUUUGGAAACGAAUGCUAAUACCGCAUAACAACUUUAAACAUAAGUUUUAAGUUUGAAAGAUGCAAUUGCAUCACUCAAAGAUGAUCCCGCGUUGUAUUAGCUAGUUGGUGAGGUAAAGGCUCACCAAGGCGAUGAUACAUAGCCGACCUGAGAGGGUGAUCGGCCACAAUGGGACUGAGACACCGCCCAAACCCCUACGGGAGGCAGCAGUAGGGAAUCUUCGGCAAUGGACGAAAGUCUGACCGAGCAACGCCGCGUGAGUGAAGAAGGGUUUCGGAUCGUAAAACUCUGUUGGUAGAGAAGAACGUUGGUGAGAGUGGAAAGCUCAUCAAGUGACGGUAACUACCCAGAAAGGGACGGCUAACUACGUG